GUCGAGAGUAAUUCACAAUGGACGAAAGUCUGAUGGUGCAACGCCGCGUGGAGGAUGAAGGUCUUCGGAUUGUAAACUCCUGUCAUCGGGGAGUAAGACCUGGCGGUAAAUAGCCGACAGGGUUGAUAGUACCCGAAGAGGAAGGGACGGCUAACUUCGUGCCAGCAGCCGCGGUAAUACGAAGGUCCCAAGCGUUGUUCGGAAUCACUGGGCGUAAAGGGAGCGUAGGCGGCGUGGUAAGUCAGAUGUGAAAUCCCGGGGCUCAACCCCGGAACUGCAUCCGAGACUGCCAUGCUUGAGGGUUGGAGAGGUAGCUGGAAUUCUCGGUGUAGCAGUGAAAUGCGUGGAUAUCGAGAGGAGCACUCGUGGCGAAGGCGAGCUACUGGACAGCAUCUGACGCUGAGGCACGAAGGCCAGGGGAGCGAAAGGGAUUAGAUACCCGGGUAGUCC
Molecule: ribosomal RNA, 450 nt
Filed under: uncultured bacterium
Lineage: Bacteria
Description: partial 16S ribosomal RNA
Rfam family: Bacterial small subunit ribosomal RNA
Source: RNAcentral